This 69-nucleotide transfer RNA is filed under the name Barbatula nuda. RNAcentral's name for it is "tRNA-Glu". It matches the Rfam family "tRNA". From Rfam's summary of the family: Transfer RNA (tRNA) molecules are approximately 80 nucleotides in length. Lineage: Eukaryota; Metazoa; Chordata; Actinopteri; Cypriniformes; Nemacheilidae. The record is from RNAcentral.
GUUCUUAUAGUUGAAUGACAACGGUGGUUCUUCAAGUCACCAGUCUUGGUUAAAAUCCAAGUAAGAAUU